Long non-coding RNA from Trifolium pratense (red clover), 623 nucleotides. RefSeq lists it as uncharacterized. NCBI's taxonomy places the organism in Eukaryota, Viridiplantae, Streptophyta, Magnoliopsida, Fabales, Fabaceae. The record is from RefSeq and is a predicted model, not a curated record. The transcript has 2 exons.
UAAGUGUUAAAAACUAUUCGAUUGUAGUACAAAGUGCAUGCGGAUUUUACGUUAUAAAUUCAUCAAUAAUAUUUUGUUUCUUACAUACAAAACAAACAAAAAUGUCUAAAACUCUCUUGUUCAUUUCUUCUACUAUCCUCUUCCAUUUCUUAUUUCUUAUAACCUACAUCGAAUAUUUUGGUCCCUGCACUUCAGACUCUGAUUGUCCAAAUUAUCUAUGUAGCACCAAUGGAAUUGGGAAGUGUUCUUCGUAUGGUUGUACAUGUGUGUAUAACCCUUAAGUAAUUACUUUAUGUUAGUUCUAGUCACAAUCUUAUAACUCUGAUGUAUGAUUUAUCUCAAGCUAGCGUAGAUUUAGAUUUAUAUAUAUAUAUAUAUAUAUAUCACAUUUAUGUUCUUUGCCAAAUAAGCAUAUUAAAUUAUGCAAGUGUUCUUGUCUAUCUUUAUUUUAGAAGAUAUAGAGAGUUAAUGUCACUACAUGAUUAAUGUUUUUUUUUUUACAAAAUAAUAUGUUAGUUACUUGAUAGCAAUGUGAAUUUAUUUAUUUUUUUUAUUACAAGCAAUGUGAAUAAAUAAAUGGGUAAAUGGUUGCUUACCCGGUAAAAUUAGAUAAAUUUGAUUUA